AAAAUUAAUCUAAGGGCAGAUGGUGGAUGCCUAGACCAGGAGAGGCGAUGAAGGACGUACUAGGCUGCGAUAAGCCAGGGGGAGCUGCCAAGAAGCUUUGAUCCCUGGAUUUCCGAAUGGGGCAACCCAAUAUGGUGCGAAUCAUAUUACUCUUUCGAGAGAGCGAACGUGGGGAAGUGAAACAUCUCAGUACCCACAGGAAAAGAAAUCAACCGAGAUUCCCUUAGUAGCGGCGAGCGAAAUGGGAAUAGCCCUAAAAUCUUUGAGGUGUUAGUAGAAUGAGCUGGAAUGCUCGACCGUAGAGGGUGAAAGUCCCGUAUACGACAACUAAUCAUAGACUAUUCGAGUAGGUCGGGACACGUGAAACCCUGACUGAAUAUGGGAGGACCACCUUCCAAGGCUAAAUACUACUUCAGGAUCGAUAGUGAACCAGUACCGUGAGGGAAAGGUGAAAAGAACCGCGGCAAGCGGAGUGAAAUAGAACCUGAAACCAUCUGCCUACAAUCAUUCAGAGCCCUAUGUCUUCGGACAGGGUGAUGGACUGCCUUUUGCAUAAUGAGCCUGCGAGUUAUGGUGACUAGCAAGGUUAAUCAAACGAGAAGCCGUAGCGAAAGCGAGUCUUAAUAGGGCGAUAGUUAGUUGCUGUAGACCCGAAACUAAGUGAUCUAUCCAUGGGCAGGUUGAAGCUGGUGUAAGAGCUAGUGGAGGACCGAACGGGUGAAGGUUUAAAACUUCUCCGAUGACCUGUGGAUAGGGGUGAAAGGCCAAUCAAACUUAGUGAUAGCUGGUUCUCUCCGAAAUAUAUUUAGGUAUAGCGUCAUGUUCGAAACAUGAGGGGGUAGAGCACUGAUUGGGCUAGGGCCUAUACCAAGGUACCAAACCCAGUCAAACUCCGAAUACCUCAUGUGAAUUCAUGGCAGUCAGGUUGUGGGUGAUAAAAUCCAUGAUCGAGAGGGAAACAGCCCAGACUACCAGCUAAGGUCCCAAAGUUCUAUUUAAGUGGAAAAGGAUGUGGAGUUGCUUAGACAACCAGGAGGUUGGCUUAGAAGCAGCCAUCCUUUAAAGAAAGCGUAACAGCUCACUGGUCGAGCGGGGGAGCGCCGAAAAUAUAACGGGGCUAAAGCCAUCCGCCGAAGUCGUAGACUCUAGAGUGGAUCUAGAGUGGUAGGAGAGCGUUGAUGACAGCGUAGAAGCUGUACCGGUGAGGAGCAGUGGAGCGUCAUCAAGUGAGCAUGCAGGCAUGAGUAGCGAUAAAGUGGGUGAGAAUCCCACUCGCCGAAAGCCUAAGGUUUCCUACACGAUGCUCGUCAGUGUAGGGUUAGUCGGGACCUAAGACGAGGCCGAGAGGCGUAGUCGAUGGGAAAACGGUUAAUAUUCCGUUACCUACUAACAGCGAGGCGAAGGGGGGACGCCUAGGGUUAGCCGAGGUCACUGAUGGAAUAGUGGCUCGAAGGGUGUAGGAGGAGUGGUAGGCAAAUCCGCCACUCGAAACUCCGAGACCUGACAGGCUCCCGAAGCUCUUCGGAGCGGAGGGAGAAUCGGUGAUACCGUCGGGCCGAGAAAAGCCUCUAAGCCGUUUGAGCUGUUAGUAGCCCGUACCGCAAACCGACACAGGUAGGCGGGAUGAGUAUUCUAAGGCGCGUGGAAGAACCCUCCCUAAGGAACUCGGCAAACUGGCACCGUAACUUCGGGAUAAGGUGUGCCCCGAGUAGGUGAAGGAGCUUGCCUCUGGAGCCGAAAGGGGUCGCAGCGCAGCGCUCUUGCCGACUGUUUACCAAAAACACAGCACUCUGCUAACUCGUAAGAGGAAGUAUAGGGUGUGACGCCUGCCCGGUGCUCGAAGGUUAAAAGGAUUGCUUAGCAUUAGCGAAGGCAUGAAUUGAAGCCCGAGUAAACGGCGGCCGUAACUAUAACGGUCCUAAGGUAGCGAAAUUCCUUGUCGGU
RNAcentral lists this ribosomal RNA (1944 nucleotides) under metagenome. RNAcentral describes it as "bacterial LSU rRNA". It matches the Rfam family "Bacterial large subunit ribosomal RNA", at positions 1 to 1976 of the family's 2925-position model. The record is from RNAcentral.